GCUGGGCAUGGUGACACAUGCCUAUAAUCCCAGUGGCUCGGGAGGCUGAGGCAGGAGGAUAGAGAGUUGAAAGCCAGCCUCAGCUACAAAAUUCAGUGAGACCCUGUCUCUA
RNAcentral lists this small RNA (112 nucleotides) under Marmota monax (woodchuck). Lineage: Eukaryota; Metazoa; Chordata; Mammalia; Rodentia; Sciuridae. The record is from RNAcentral.